AGCAGCCAUAAGGGACAAAGUUCUUGCAGAAGAAGGUGAUGAAGGUGGUGAAAUCUCCAUCCCUGGAGAUGACCCAGCAGAAUAACCAGCGAGUUCCAGCUCUUCAGUGAGCCAGGGAAAGCCAAGUGUGUUGCAACAGUAACUCGUUCCUUGGCCCCAGCAUCAAGAGCUUGUGGUGACAGGAUGAGGGACAGACCACAUAGGAACAUGACCAG
Molecule: long non-coding RNA, 215 nt
Organism: Pogoniulus pusillus (Red-fronted tinkerbird)
Lineage: Eukaryota; Metazoa; Chordata; Aves; Piciformes; Lybiidae
Exons: 3
Source: RefSeq, a predicted model, not a curated record